GAUGAACGCUGGCGGCGUGCCUAACACAUGCAAGUCAAGGAGAAAGGGGUAGCAAUAUCCCGAGUACACUGGCGCACGGGUGAGUAAGGCGUAGGCAACCUGCCUAUAGGACGAGAACAACUCAGCGAAAGCUGAACUAAUACUCGAUAAUGCAGCGGCAUCGCAUGAUGAUGUUGUUAAAAGCCCCAAAAGGGUGCCUAUAGAUGGGCCUGCGUCCCAUUAGGUAGUUGGUGAGGUAACGGCCCACCAAGCCUACGAUGGGUAGCUGGUCUGAGAGGAUGAUCAGCCACACUGGCACUGGAACACGGGCCAGACUCCUACGGGAGGCAGCAGUGAGGAAUUUUGCGCAAUGGCCGCAAGGCUGACGCAGCAACGCCGCGUGGGUGAUGAAGGCCUGG
RNAcentral lists this ribosomal RNA (398 nucleotides) under uncultured bacterium. RNAcentral describes it as "bacterial SSU rRNA". It matches the Rfam family "Bacterial small subunit ribosomal RNA", at positions 28 to 419 of the family's 1533-position model. The record is from RNAcentral.